GGAGAGAGAGCCUGAGAAACGGSUCCACAUUCMAGGGAGACCGCAGGCGCCUWAAUUACCCMAUCCUGAUACMGGGAGGUAGUGACAAUAAAUAACAAUGCCGGGCCAUCAUUGGUCUKGCCAUUGGAAUGAAAACAAUUUAAAUCCCUUAUCGAGGAUCAAUUGGAGGGCAAGUCUUGUGCC
RNAcentral lists this ribosomal RNA (183 nucleotides) under uncultured organism. Its description in RNAcentral is "partial small subunit ribosomal RNA". It matches the Rfam family "Eukaryotic small subunit ribosomal RNA", at positions 387 to 570 of the family's 1831-position model. The record is from RNAcentral.